RNAcentral lists this ribosomal RNA (207 nucleotides) under uncultured bacterium. RNAcentral describes it as "partial 16S ribosomal RNA". It matches the Rfam family "Bacterial small subunit ribosomal RNA", at positions 568 to 774 of the family's 1533-position model. The record is from RNAcentral.
CUCGUAGGCGGUCUGUCACGUCGGAUGUGAAAAUCCAGGGCUUAACCCUGGACCUGCAUUCGAUACGGGCAGACUAGAGUUCGGUAGGGGAGACUGGAAUUCCUGGUGUAGCGGUGAAAUGCGCAGAUAUCAGGAGGAACACCGGUGGCGAAGGCGGGUCUCUGGGCCGAUACUGACGCUGAGGAGCGAAAGCGUGGGGAGCGAACA